ACGCCAACGCGUGUCCCUGCUGGAUCCACCCGAUCCAACCCCGCCGGCGGCCUCCUCCCGCAUCCCCGCCGGCGGCCACGCCAACACGCGUCCCUGUUGGAUCCACCCGGUCCAACCCUGCUGCCAUCAACCUCGCCAGCCGCCGACGCCGCUGACAUCGCCUCCAUCCACCCCGCUAUCAACUUCACCACUCAACCGAAGAUCGACGAUGUCGCCGAGGGCGCAAAGGAGACGGUGCAGGAGACCAAGGAGGUCGUGCUCGACGAGUCCGACGAUGAUGAGGACAAGUUCAAGCAGUGGGUCGGGAACAGCAGCUUUCCAUCAGUAUAUCACCCGCUCAAUUCCGGUGAGUGGAUGGAGAGCUACGAGCAGUGGAUGAAGAUCUACUAG
RNAcentral lists this ribosomal RNA (390 nucleotides) under Triticum aestivum (bread wheat). RNAcentral describes it as "partial small subunit ribosomal RNA". The record is from RNAcentral. Lineage: Eukaryota; Viridiplantae; Streptophyta; Magnoliopsida; Poales; Poaceae.